GACGAACGCUGGCGGCGUGCUUAACACAUGCAAGUCGAACGGUGAAGCGCCUUCCUUUUUGGUGGGUGUGGAUGAGUGGCGAACGGGUGAGUAACACGUGAGUAACCUGCCCCCUUCUUCUGGAUAACCGCAUGAAAGUGUGGCUAAUACGGGAUAUUCUGGGUCUGUCGCAUGAUGGGUCUGGGAAAGAUAUUGUUUCGGUGGGGGAUGGGCUCGCGGCCUAUCAGCUUGUUGGUGGGGUGAUGGCCUGCCAAGGCGGUGACGGGUAGCCGGCCUGAGAGGGUGGACGGUCACACUGGGACUGAGACACGGCCCAGACUCCUACGGGAGGCAGCAGUGGGGAAUAUUGCACAAUGGGCGCAAGCCUGAUGCAGCGACGCCGCGUGAGGGAUGGAGGCCUUCGGGUUGUGAACCUCUUUCGCCAGUGAAGCAGGCCUGCCUCGUUUGUGGGUGGGUUGACGGUAGCUGGAUAAGAAGCGCCGGCUAACUACGU
RNAcentral lists this ribosomal RNA (493 nucleotides) under uncultured bacterium. RNAcentral's name for it is "partial 16S ribosomal RNA". It matches the Rfam family "Bacterial small subunit ribosomal RNA", at positions 28 to 506 of the family's 1533-position model. The record is from RNAcentral.